Molecule: ribosomal RNA, 301 nt
Filed under: uncultured bacterium
Lineage: Bacteria
Description: partial 16S ribosomal RNA
Rfam family: Bacterial small subunit ribosomal RNA
Source: RNAcentral
CAGCCGCCACGGUAAUACGAAGGUCCCAAGCGUUGUUCGGAAUCACUGGGCGUAAAGGGAGCGUAGGCGGCGUGGUAAGUCAGAUGUGAAAUCCCGGGGCUCAACCCCGGAACUGCAUCCGAUACUGCCAUGCUUGAGGGUUGGAGAGGUAGCAGGAAUUCUUGGUGUAGCAGUGAAAUGCGUGGAUAUCAAGAGGAACACUCGUGGCGAAGGCGAGCUACUGGACAACAUCUGACGCUGAGGCUCGAAGGCCAGGGUAGCGAAAGGGAUUAGAUACCCCUGUAGUCCCUGUCUCUUAUAC